AAACAAACACAUUUUCACCUUUCUUCCGUGAAUUCCGGCCACCAUCGUCCCACCACUUCACGCAACUGCCCAUCGUUUUGCACCUAAUCCCUAAUCUAUUCACCGACUGUGCCACCGUCACUUCAUCAACCGCUGUAAUCGUUUGGAUGCUACUAGGCUAUGGAGCUCAUCUGUUAUCUAUCUUCGCUUCUUCCUAUCUGCAAACCAUGGAAGGAAAGACAUGGUGUGUAUGCAAAGCCAGCUGAUCAAAAAGAGGUGGUUCUGAAGGUCUCUUUGCCCAGAAAACUCUAAAGAUAACUGACAGUGUUCUUUCCACAUACAAGAGUCAAGGUGGUUGUGAUUUGCUUGGUCGGACGAAAGAUCAAAUUAGGACCACAGAGAAAGUUAAUGCUGCUCUUGCUGCAUGCAACAACUUGAAACUUGAUGGCCUUGUCAUCAUUGGGGGGGUGACAUGAAACACAGAUGUUGCCCAGCUUGCAGAAACGUUUGCUGAAGCAAAAUGCCCACCAAGGAUUCUGCUGGUGGUUGGCGUUCCUGUGACUUUGAAUGGAGAUCGUAAAAACUGGUUUGUUGAAACUAAUGUUGGUUUUGAUACCAUUUGUAAGGUAUUUGUCCAAUGUGGGUGAGAGUUUUAGUUUUAAUGGGGUUUAAAAUUGUUUUCAUGUGAUGGAGCUCAAUGUGUGAAUUUUUCUGUUUGCUUUAAAUUGAAAAUGUGAUGUUAUCGCGAGGGUGUCAAUUUUGACAUUCUAACAGCUAUUAGAAAAUGUGAUGAUUGCCAAUUUGGGUUCAAUAUGAUAGGCCAGUCUUUAUUUGAUUUUCGUUUGCCUAUUGACCAAGAUUAAGAUGCUUCAUAAGGAUGCGAUUUGAGCGCUAUCAAGGUACCUUCUACCUCCCAAAACCCCUGCUAAUUAUACUUUACAGGUUGUGUGUCUACUGCAUAGCAGCCUCUUAACCCAUCCUAUCAGACAUGUAUGGUUAUAAAUUGAACAACAUACUGUGAGGAUCUUCAUCUGUUCCUUCAUAAUCGAUUUAUCCAUUUUCUUCUGCACUAUCCCUCUUUGUUCUCCACUAUUCACUUGGAGAACUAGGCUUAUAGUUCUUCGGAUGUGGGAAAUUCGUCCAGUGAGUAAACCAUUGAGUCCAUAUUCCCUGCACAUUGUUCUCUUUUAUGCUGAGGUUUUGAAAGAAAAAUAAAUCUUUAUCCAUCUCUCAUCAUUCGUUAAUCAGUAUUCCUUAUAGCUUUUGGAUAGAUGUGUGUAGCUUUGUGUGGAUUUGUAUCUAUUUUCCUUUACUUGUGUUUACCUCUUAGUUGUUGCCAACAGCAAGAAAAAUUUGCCACUGAUUUUCUCUUUGGUGGGGAUUUAAAUGCAGUUGGGGAGUUAUUCAGUAACCUGAAGGCAAAGUUUUCUUUCAAAAGAAAGCAGGAGACAAGUUUGACAGUGUCAACCAUUAAAGAACAUUCUAAUCAUUUGUUGAAUCAUCUUUCUCAGAGAUUGGAUCCAUGACUGGCUUGCGACUGAUAAUAAUCAGAUGCGGAGACAAUGAUUAUCAAUGCUAAAAGGAAACAUGUAACUCGUGGAAAGUUAUUCUAAAUUUCAUUCUUCAAUUUAUUUAUGUUAGUAAAGAGUAAGUUUCAUUUUAGGCUCAAUCUUCCAUUUGUUGAAAUGCAAAUCUAAUACACGCGGUCCAGGUGGUAACCCUUCAAAUGAAUUCAAAAUUGUCUUCAUGUAUUUACUAACUGCAAUAGUUUAGUGUAUAUCUUUGACUAUAUAAGCCAUUGUUUAUUUUGAUAUACGUUUUCCUUGGUCCUGCUGAGUUGUCUCUCUGCCUCCUUUCUCAUCCUACUUUAUUUUAUUUUCUGCUUCUGGUUUCUUCUAGGAUGUCUCUUCCAUUUCUUUCUUCCUCCCUCCAUUUUUAUAUGACUAUUAAUUUUCAGCUACAAUAUGAAAAUUCAUUUUUUCUUUGUUUUCAGGUUGAUCCAAGCUUCACUUUGAUGGUGGUUGUUAUCCAAGAGUGUAGCCUUCAUUUGCUUUGGUUUUUUUUUCUUCUGUUGCUCUUGAAAAGUACACUAUUCAAAUAACUCCAAGAAUUCAGCCUUCAAAAUUUUGAUUUCCUCAAUCCAGCUUAUUCAAAUUGUUGUUUUGUUGUAGUAAUGCCAUCAUGUUUACCACUAACAUGGUUGGUUGUGUCUACAAUCCAAUUACGGUUACUCUGCCGCCUUUGUGGUUUGUGUAAAAUCAAUUGCAGUUAUCUCUAUAUAUGAGUUUGGUUGUGUUGGUGCUUUGCAUUGUGAAGUUGCAUGCCCCAGCUAUGAAUUUCAAACUCAUAUCAUUGAAUCUUACUCGGUUUCUCAAUUAUCUAUACCCCUUCUUUUUUUGCUACACCAGCUAUUGAGUUUUUCAAUCUUGGUCUCACCUACUGUGUUGCCCAUGUUCAUAGGAUUUACUUUGAUUUUAUUGUGUUGAUGAAUAUUUUAUUUUUUGGUGAUUGUUUUAUUCAUGAAUAAGUUUAUCCUUCGCUAUGUUUUAAUCUGUUCCCGGAGUGUUUGGUCUCUACUGUAACAUUUGAUCUUUUAUUAUUUCUUAAUAGGUUGUUGAAAUUGAGACUGAGAUGAAAACUUGCUACUAUAUGUCGUUUUCUGCAAGAAGGUGUGUUCAAGAGCUGUGAGAAAGACGCGCGACAAGGAUUCAGGUAGCUCUCUCUCUGAGAAUCCGAGUGACACAGCACCUCUAAAUCUCCUUCGCCGCCGGAGACUUCAACGCCAGCGCACCAGCCACCGUCGAGCCAAGCCUAAGUCUGUUAUCAUCACAUCGCUUCUCUUUUCUCCCUUUCAGGUUGAGAGAAGCUCUCUCUGCGACAAGCUUUAUCUCAUGCCGAGACUCAAGCAUCUUCUUCCACAUCAUCUCCAAUUCUCACUCUGUUUUUUUGCAACAGAGACAAGGUUUAUUCCAAAAGUGGUACUAAUCGAAGGAAAUUGCAAGGAGCUGCUACAACACUUUCAGAUGCUACGCUUACGAAGUCUCCCAAUAUGGCUUACCUCCCUGGGGGAAUCAACUUGCUUAUGGCUCUUAAUGCUCGCUAUUGAUUGAUGUGGGUAAUUUAACUCUGUACAUUCCAACUUCUCUCAGGUUCUGAUUCCGGGACUUGAAAGUGUUGGUUGAUUAUAGUUCAAUUAUCAGCUGCUAUAAUGAGAAGACCAAAGAAGAAGAUCUGAAAGCAAUGCAAGUGGAUACGACAGUUUUGGGCCUUUCACAAGAAGAGGCUGAAAAUAAACCAUCAUACAUUGCUUCCAUGGGAGUGUACAUAUUCAAAAUGUAUUAGAAAGAAAGAUAAGGGAUUCAGGUUUCAUCCAACCAAUGAAGAGCUCAUAUGUACUACCUCCCACAGAAGGUUCUUGACAGCUAUUUCUAUGCUAUAGCCAUUGCGGAUGCUGAUUUGCACAAGUGUGAACCAUGGCCAGUUAGAUAGAGCUGCUCAUAGAAUGGGUACAAAUAUCAUUCGUAUUCAGGAACACAUACUAAACCUGGGAUGCUUCUGGCAGUGCUUUCUACUUAUUUUAGGUAUCAAUUAGAUAACAUCUAAUGUCUGACGACCUUUGUUAAUUUUAUCACUUUCAAGGCUUUUUGUGCAUGUUGCAGCUCAAUUAUAUAUAUAUAUAUAUAUAUAUAUAUAUAUUGAUUAGUUUUGUUUUGUGAAUUGGAACUGUCACAUGUGUUUUGACAAUUGAUAUAGUGCUUAAUAGUAUCAUCAAUCUCUAAAUGUUUAAA
This is a long non-coding RNA of Lotus japonicus, 3767 nucleotides long. RefSeq lists it as uncharacterized. The transcript has 13 exons. The record is from RefSeq and is a predicted model, not a curated record. Lineage: Eukaryota; Viridiplantae; Streptophyta; Magnoliopsida; Fabales; Fabaceae.